Sciurus carolinensis (gray squirrel) is the source of this 1870-nucleotide long non-coding RNA. RefSeq lists it as uncharacterized. The transcript has 3 exons. The record is from RefSeq and is a predicted model, not a curated record. Lineage: Eukaryota; Metazoa; Chordata; Mammalia; Rodentia; Sciuridae.
CCAGCACCACUGGCCCCUGAGUCAGGCAGGGAUCCUCUCAGAGAAGGGAAGCUGCCAGCUACUCAUUGUCCUCUGAUGGCCAGCCCCCAUCUCCUUUGCCCUCCAGGUUUCCACCUACAGCCUCCAGCAAGCUCCUGCUGGCCCAGCCUGGGCUGGCCUUUGUCUGGGCAGCGCCUGCUUCUCCCUGGCUCCCAGACACACUGACACUGCCUCAAGUUGUUUCAGAGUAGUUAUUAUAACCAGGCCCCUAGCAGUGAGAUAGAGGUCAACCUCAGACUGGGAGCUAGGAAGCUGCUGCGUUCAGCCUACAGCCAUCUGACUCUACCGAGCACCUUCCUUUCCUAGGCCUCAAUUCUACAUGCGCCAAAUAAGGGGGUGCACUGGGACCCUUACAACUUUCCUGUUCUAGGAUGUUGGGCCAGUGCCAUAGCCAACUAUGGCCGGGAGUCCUCCUCUCCCACUGUCAUCUCUUCAGGACACUGCUGAUGACCCCAGACACCAACUGCAGCACCGGUGACAAUUGGAGGGACCCAUCUACCCCAGGCCCACACGGCGCGCCUGCCUUGACCAGCCGGCAAGCCCAGACCUGGAUCGGCUGGGAGCAAGCCCAGUCAGGAGAGAGAGGCGGCAAGUCUGGCCUGGAACACCUAGGAUCCUGGAGCAGGGGAGCCCGCCUGCUGGGGCAGCCCCUGGGAGCCCUCAGAAAACAGGAAAUUCCAGCCCAGAGCUCCUCCUAGGACUGGGCAGAGCCAGGACCAGGAGGACUCAUUGGGAGUCAAACUAGGAGUGAGGACGCAAGCCUUAAGCCAUCUCUGGGCCUCAGUCUCUUCAUUUGCAAAAUGAGGAGCUUGAGCAAGGCAAUCCUGUCUCAAUUUCCGGCUAGACAUUCUGAGCUGGAGAGCUGUUGGAUGCUGAAGCCAGCUGCUAUUAAUGAUGGAGCUGUCCUUCUCUCUGAAGAUUAUAAACUCCAAAAGAUACUCAUCUGUCUGGACUAAGUAUCCGCCUGCCUAAGGGCAGCAGAAAAAUCAAAAGAUAACUUCCAGGCCCAGACCACGAGUGACUCACUUCUGAGCCUUCAGUGACCAUUCCCUGGCUGCUCACUGGGUCUCACCCACUGUCGAGAUGAUGGCAGUAAGAGAGCUUCCAGUAUUGGCCGGCACCUGGCGCUCUGUAAAUGGAAACACCCCUAACUCUGAUACACUUUUAGUUUCAUGAGAGUAGGCUAUACCCAGAAAACCUGGGGUCCACCCCAAAACAGAGCAAGAGCUGUGCACGGUCAACAUCACUCCUUUCCAAGGUCGUUGAGAGAGCCAGCAUACCGCAAUCCACAGAGUACGACCAGAGGCCCGGGAGCAGAUCAGGAGAAACCAGUUUCGGUAGUGGCAAGGGGUGAGGGGUCUGAGCUUCCUUGGAAAAGAUUUCACUCCCAGGACUCCUCCACCCCAAUCCAACCCCACUUCCAGUGUCCCCUCCAGCAUCCCAAUGUCCCUUUCAGCUUUAGAACUCCCUGGUCUGAGCUAGAAGAGAUGAAAGCUACGCAUUCCCGUGGGGGCUGGGGCUGGGGGCAGGCCUGGGAAGGCAGGGCCUCUCUGUCCUAGGUGCUCUGGCAGAAAGGAGGCUGGAAACUCCCAAGUCCUGGGCUGGAUCUCUGGGGCACUUCUUAUCUUUGUGGGUCUAGUUAUUACAGUUGAGGAAGGCUGCUUCUCUGCAGGAAGCACAUUCCCCCAUAUAUCCUACACCAUUCCACAGAGGAGCCUUUCCCAAGAUCCUCAGGCAGGCACAAAACCAAGAACAGCACCCAGUGCUCACGUUUAAGUCUGUCAACCUUUCUGAGCUUCAGAUUAAAAGGACAAGGUAGUUUUUCUGCCUA